CCCUUAGAUGUUCUGGGCUGCACGCGUGCUACACUGAUAUUGCCAAUAUGUCAUUCUUAUCCGAAAUGGAUUGGGUAAUCAAGUAAUGAAAUUUCAUGCUUGGAAUCGGUAAUUGCAAUUUUAUCGUGAACGAGGAAUUCCUAGUAAGCACUAGUCAUCAGCUAAUGUUGAUUAUGUCCCUGCCCUUUGUACACACCGUCCGUCGCUACUACUGAUUGGGUGUUCAAGUGAGAUGCUUAGACCCUUGUUGCAUGGUUCAUUAUUGUGCUCCGAAGGGAAAAAGUUUCAAGCUUGAGUGUCUAGAGGAAGUAAAAGUCGUAACA
RNAcentral lists this ribosomal RNA (323 nucleotides) under uncultured eukaryote. RNAcentral's name for it is "partial 18S ribosomal RNA". It matches the Rfam family "Eukaryotic small subunit ribosomal RNA", at positions 1470 to 1796 of the family's 1831-position model. The record is from RNAcentral.